CCGUGCAGCCGGGGAAUCAGCGGCUCCCUGUACCUACAAUCCGCUAUAGUAGGGGUGAUGUCUUGUCCCGGGUCGUGCUUUGUACAGCAGCCCUUUGUAAGUGACGUUGAUAUGCGGGUCUUGCGCAACAGAAAUCUAUGAAUCGUGUCAGGUCGGGAACGAAGCAGCACUAAGUGGAAUCUUCUGUGUGCCGUGAGGGUGCCUGCAUUGAGUUAACUGCAAAGGUAACGUGUAUAGAGUGUGAUUCAAAACAAGACGCACGG
Molecule: signal recognition particle RNA, 263 nt
Filed under: bacterium
Lineage: Bacteria
Description: signal recognition particle sRNA large type
Rfam family: Bacterial large signal recognition particle RNA
About the family: The signal recognition particle (SRP) is a universally conserved ribonucleoprotein involved in the co-translational targeting of proteins to membranes. Archaeal SRP consists of a 7S RNA and homologues of the eukaryotic SRP19 and SRP54 proteins.
Source: RNAcentral